UGCAGUCGAGGGGCAGCGCGGGUAGCAAUAUCUGGCGGCGACCGGCAAACGGGUGCGGAACACGUACGCAACCUUCCUUUAAGCGGUGAAUAGCCCAGGGAAACUUGGAUUAAUACACCAUAAUACUAUUGGUUGGCAUCAAUUGAUAGUUAAAGCUCCGGCACUUAAAGAUGGGCGUGCGGCUGAUUAGGUAGUUGGCGGGGUAAUGGCCCACCAAGCCUACGAUCAGUAACUGGUGUGAGAGCACGACCAGUCACACGGGCACUGAGACACGGGCCCGACUCCUACGGGAGGCAGCAGUAAGGAAUAUUGGUCAAUGGACGCAAGUCUGAACCAGCCAUGCCGCGUGGAGGAUGAAGGCCCUCUGGGUUGUAAACUUCUUUUAUCUGGGAAGAAACCGGACUUUUCCAAGGCCGUUGACGGUACCAGAUGAAUAAGCACCGGCUAACUCCGUGCCAGCAGCCGCGGUAAUACGGAGGGUGCAAGCGUUAUCCGGAUUCACUGGGUUUAAAGGGUGCGUAGGUGGGCAGGUAAGUCAGUGGUGAAAUCUCCGGGCUUAACCCGGAAACUGCCGUUGAUACUAUCUGUCUUGAAUGUAGUGGAGGUGAGCGGAAUAUGUCAUGUAGCGGUGAAAUGCUUAGAUAUGACAU
Molecule: ribosomal RNA, 650 nt
Filed under: uncultured bacterium
Lineage: Bacteria
Description: bacterial SSU rRNA
Rfam family: Bacterial small subunit ribosomal RNA
Source: RNAcentral